UGUAAGCGUAUACCAAAGUUGUUGCAGUUAAAACGCUCGUAGUCGGAAUUUGGCAGUUCCGGAUGUGUGCACGUCGUGUGCGCACUUCGCGGGGAUUGCUUUUGUGGUCUUGCGUAGGAUGAGGCACUUUUAUUAGUGAACGUCCUCACGCAACCACUUUUUACUGUGAGAAAAUCAGAGUGCUCAAAGCAGGCAUUUGCCGUGAAUGUAUUAGCAUGGAAUAAUAGAAUAGGACUUGGUUCUAUUUUGUUGGUUUGUUGGGACUGAGUAAUGAUUAAGAGGGACAGUUUGGGGCAUUUGUAUUUCGGUGCUAGAGGUGAAAUUCUUAGAUUACCGAAAGACAAACUGCUGCGAAAGCGUCUGCCAAGGAUGUUUUCAUUGA
This 382-nucleotide ribosomal RNA is filed under the name uncultured eukaryote. RNAcentral describes it as "partial 18S ribosomal RNA". It matches the Rfam family "Eukaryotic small subunit ribosomal RNA", at positions 592 to 976 of the family's 1831-position model. The record is from RNAcentral.